RNAcentral lists this ribosomal RNA (488 nucleotides) under uncultured bacterium. RNAcentral's name for it is "partial 16S ribosomal RNA". It matches the Rfam family "Bacterial small subunit ribosomal RNA", at positions 28 to 523 of the family's 1533-position model. The record is from RNAcentral.
AUUGAACGCUGGCGGCAUGCCUUACACAUGCAAGUCGAACGGUAGAGGGGGCAACCCCUCGGGAGUGGCGAACGGGUGAGUAAAGCAUCGGAACGUGCCCAGUAGUGGGGGAUAGCCCGGCGAAAGCCGGAUUAAUACCGCAUGAGACCUACGGGUGAAAGGGGGGGAUCGUAAGACCUCUCGCUAUAGGAGCGGCCGAUGUCAGAUUAGGUAGUUGGUGGGGUGAUGGCCUACCAAGGCGACGACGGGUAGCCGGCCUGAGAGGGUGACCGGCCACACUGGGACUGAGACACGGCCCAGACUCCUACGGGAGGCAGCAGUGGGGAAUCUUGCGCAAUGGGCGGAAGCCUGACGCAGCAACGCCGCGUGGGGGAUGACGGCCUUCGGGUUGUAAACCUCUUUCGGCAUCGACGAAGGCUCUCGUGUUCGGGGGUUGACAGUAGGUGCAGAAGAAGCACCGGCUAACUACGUGCCAGCAGCCGCAGUAA